UGGGGAAUAUUGCACAAUGGACGGAAGUCUGAUGCAGCAACGCCGCGUGCGGGAUGACGGCCUUCGGGUUGUAAACCGCUUUUUCUCAUGACGAAGUUUUUUGACGGUAGUGGGGGAAGAAGCACCGGCUAACUACGUGCCAGCAGCCGCGGUGAUUCGUAGGGUGCGAGCGUUGUCCGGAAUUAUUGGGCGUAAAGAGCUUGUAGGCGGUUUGUCGCGUCGAUAGUGCAAACUCAGUGCUUAACGCUGAGCCUGCUGUUGAUACGGGCAGACUAGAGGAAGGUAGGGGAGAAUGGAAUUCCCGGUGGGGCGGUGGAAUGCGCAGAUUUCGGGGGGAACACCGGUGGCGAAGGCGGUUCUCUGGGCCUUUCCUGACGCUGAGAAGCGAAAGCGUGGGGAGCGAACAGG
RNAcentral lists this ribosomal RNA (408 nucleotides) under Fusobacteriota bacterium. RNAcentral's name for it is "Fusobacteria bacterium partial 16S ribosomal RNA". It matches the Rfam family "Bacterial small subunit ribosomal RNA", at positions 355 to 776 of the family's 1533-position model. The record is from RNAcentral. Lineage: Bacteria; Fusobacteriati; Fusobacteriota.